AUUGAACGCUGGCGGCAUGCUUUACACAUGCAAGUCGAACGGCAGCGCGGGCUUCGGCCUGGCGGCGAGUGGCGAACGGGUGAGUAAUGCAUCGGAACGUGCCCAGUAGUGGGGGAUAGCCCGGCGAAAGCCGGAUUAAUACCGCAUACGACCUGAGGGUGAAAGCGGGGGACCGAAAGGCCUCGCGCUAUUGGAGCGGCCGAUGUCGGAUUAGCUAGUUGGUGGGGUAAAGGCUUACCAAGGCGACGAUCCGUAGCUGGUCUGAGAGGACGACCAGCCACACUGGGACUGAGACACGGCCCAGACUCCUACGGGAGGCAGCAGUGGGGAAUUUUGGACAAUGGGGGCAAGCCUGAUCCAGCCAUGCCGCGUGCGGGAAGAAGGCCUUCGGGUUGUAAACCGCUUUUGUUCGGGAAGAAAAACUCUGGGCUAAUACCCCGGGGGGAUGACGGUACCGGAAGAAAAAGCACCGGCUAACUACGUG
Molecule: ribosomal RNA, 484 nt
Filed under: uncultured bacterium
Lineage: Bacteria
Description: partial 16S ribosomal RNA
Rfam family: Bacterial small subunit ribosomal RNA
Source: RNAcentral